Long non-coding RNA from Alosa sapidissima (American shad), 435 nucleotides. RefSeq lists it as uncharacterized. NCBI's taxonomy places the organism in Eukaryota, Metazoa, Chordata, Actinopteri, Clupeiformes, Clupeidae. The transcript has 2 exons. The record is from RefSeq and is a predicted model, not a curated record.
UUGAAAAACGAGAGAUGGACUACUUGUUUUUUUUACUAUUCAGUAGGAUACAUUUAUUUUAAGCGAUAUGCCACUUGUUGCCACUGACGUUCGUGACGCAGAAACUUGAAAUAUUAGUUUUAUUAAGUCUUAGUGGUUCAGGCGAACGCUGUGGUCGCCAAUGUCAAUCUACCAAUAGUAUAGUACAAUACUGACAUACGAAUAUGACAAGCCUAUCAGAUUUGGCUAUACGAAUCAGCUGUUGGACAACAACAUACAAACUUUUUUAGCAGCCGUCCGACAUGGCUACCUGACAUCGCCAAAGAGGAUUGGUUUUGUGGGGGCAAGUUGAAUUCAACAUUGACGUUAACACAAACAUUCAUUUUAAUGUUUCAUCUUUGAUAGCAAACUUUGGUUACAUUUUCUUUCAAUAAAUCUCUCCACUUUUGGGCUCUA